GAAGUUGUUGAUGCUAUCAGGCUUUCUCAGUGCAUGCUGUGAUUUCGAGGGAACAGGAAAGAUGCUAUCUAACCCUUAGAACUCAAGGCCCUUGAAGAUUCUUGAGAGCUACUGUAAUUUUUCAGUUUGAUCAAGAUGCAGGAACUUUGUCAGGUAUACCUAAGCAAGCUUGUAAUGAUAAUAGAACUUCAGUGAGUGGAUCUUUUUCUCUACAUUUUGACCCAUUCUAGAUAAGAUUGACUUGAAUGAGUUCUCCAUCCUAUAAAGUGCUAAUCUAGCUUUUGCCUAUGGAGUCUAUCAUUGCUUGAAAGAGACUACAGAACCAGAAAACUACUUUAUAUGUGAAAGUUGGUCUACACCUUUCUCCUGCUACACAACUAUGUCCCAAAGAUAGACCUGAAAACAGUUGGCAUGCAUUCUUUCCUUCCUCCAGAAAAGCUAUCUAAUAAUUAUCAGGAGCCUGGCAAUGAGUGAAGAGACUGUAAAUUGUUAUUUGUUUAAAAAUGCUUUUGUUUGUUCACCCAAGACUGCUCUAACAACAGCAGCAACAAUAACAAUUCAAUUGUCAAUGAGGACGGACAAAUAGUGCAGAGAAGCCCAGAUAAAAUACAAAAUCUAGAUGAUGGUGAAUCAUUUGUGUGUUUUUUUAAAACAUCUUUCCAUGUGAAGCGAACUCAUGUAUUUUAUAAUAUUGCUAGGUGAGAAAUAUGGACUCUUUCCUUGUGUGUAUCAUCUUGUUCUACGCUCCUUCUCAUACACUGUUCAGUGUCCCUGAGGGUGUCCAUCACAGAAAUAUUGAUAUUCUUCCAGGAAAGGCCCUACAGUGUGGAAAUGGGAUAUCUGACAGCAUUAACAAGCUUCAGCAGCUGCUUACAAAGAAUCAGUUAUUAUGCAUCUUGGGACAUUAACUAAUGUGUUCAGCAUUGCAAUUUGUUAUUUGUUCUAAUAAAAGAGUGAAUGAAAGUGUACUUUUUAAAAAUAAAUUUUAUUCUUAAUUUAUGGGGAAAGCAUGCAUUUCUAUAACAGUAUGAUAAAAAAGAUGAUUAUACAUGAAAAUUCAAAUUUCUA
This is a long non-coding RNA of Sarcophilus harrisii (Tasmanian devil), 1068 nucleotides long. RefSeq lists it as uncharacterized. The transcript has 3 exons. The record is from RefSeq and is a predicted model, not a curated record. Lineage: Eukaryota; Metazoa; Chordata; Mammalia; Dasyuromorphia; Dasyuridae.